UGGGUUCAUAGCGCCGAUUUGUCCGGAUUGCGGGCGCUCAAAAAAUUCCGCUAAAGAGGGCGCUGCUCACCGGCC
Molecule: non-coding RNA, 75 nt
Filed under: Burkholderiales bacterium
Lineage: Bacteria; Pseudomonadati; Pseudomonadota; Betaproteobacteria; Burkholderiales
Source: RNAcentral